UUACCUUACUUGGAAUAAUUCCCGCUAUAGGUGGCGUUUUCAGUUAUUUUGCACAGAAGGCUUGUUGAAAUCAUGGAAAGGGGUUGCAAAGUUUUGUGCUCGUUGUUUUAAAUUAAGUUUUAAGGUCCUUAUUGGAAUAAAUUAUGUAACCUGGGUAUUAUGUGGUAACCGCUGCUUGGCUGUUUUUCUAAGUAACCAGCACCAGUCAGAGAGAAUGAGUGAAAGUGUAGACAUGACGUUCAUUCCAUAAAUGGACGUGAUUAUCAUUCUACACGUUUAACUUUGAUUCUACGAUGUACGUUAUGGCCUCUUAAGUGUUCUACAAUGUAUUAGCUUAGCAAGUAUUAUUAAAGGAACUGUGAACCUA
This is a long non-coding RNA of Mercenaria mercenaria, 367 nucleotides long. RefSeq lists it as uncharacterized. NCBI's taxonomy places the organism in Eukaryota, Metazoa, Mollusca, Bivalvia, Venerida, Veneridae. The transcript is spliced from 3 exons. The record is from RefSeq and is a predicted model, not a curated record.